GGGCGAGUAGCUCAGUACGGAUAGAGCACCAGCCUCCUAAGUUGGGGGUCGAGGGUUCAAAUCCCUCCCCGCCCGCCA
RNAcentral lists this transfer RNA (78 nucleotides) under Bacillota bacterium. RNAcentral's name for it is "tRNA-Arg". It matches the Rfam family "tRNA". From Rfam's summary of the family: Transfer RNA (tRNA) molecules are approximately 80 nucleotides in length. Their secondary structure includes four short double-helical elements and three loops (D, anti-codon, and T loops). Further hydrogen bonds mediate the characteristic L-shaped molecular structure. tRNAs have two regions of fundamental functional importance: the anti-codon, which is responsible for specific mRNA codon recognition, and the 3' end, to which the tRNAs corresponding amino acid is attached (by aminoacyl-tRNA synthetases). tRNAs cope with the degeneracy of the genetic code in two manners: having more than one tRNA (with a specific anti-codon) for a particular amino acid; and 'wobble' base-pairing, i.e. permitting non-standard base-pairing at the 3rd anti-codon position. Lineage: Bacteria; Bacillati; Bacillota. The record is from RNAcentral. RNAcentral also lists the same sequence under 8 other names.